UACCAGCACCCCGAGUGGUCGGGACGUUUAUUGGGCCUAAAGCAUCCGUAGCCGGUUCUACAAGUCUUCCGUUAAAUCCACCUGCUUAACAGAUGGGCUGCGGAAGAUACUAUGGAGCUAGGAGGCGGGGGAGGCAAGCGGUACUCGAUGGGUAGGGGUAAAAUCCGUUGAUCCAUUGAAGACCACCAGUGGCGAAGGCGGCUUGCCAGAACGCGCUCGACGGUGAGGGAUGAAAGCUGGGGGAGCAAACCGG
This 253-nucleotide ribosomal RNA is filed under the name uncultured bacterium. RNAcentral describes it as "partial 16S ribosomal RNA". It matches the Rfam family "Archaeal small subunit ribosomal RNA", at positions 474 to 727 of the family's 1478-position model. The record is from RNAcentral.